CCUUUAGUCAGCGUUAGGGUUUUAAACCCUAAACUGAACUUUUCCUUUAGUCAGCAUUAGGGUUUUAAACCCUAAACUGAACUCUUUCUAGCCAGUCAGUAUUAUGGUUUUAAACCCUAAACUAAACUUUCCCUUUAGUCAGCAUUAGGGUUUUAAACCCUAAACUGAACUUUUCCCAUUCAGUCAGCAUUAAGGUUUUAAACCCUAAACUGAACUUUUCCUUUAGUCAGCAUUAGGGUUUUAAACCCUAAACUGAACUUUUUCAUUCAGUCAGUAUUAGGGUUUUAAACCCUAAACUGAACUUUUCCCAUUCAGUCAGCAUUAGGGUUUUAAACCCUAAACUGAACUUUUCCCAUUCAGUCAGCAUUAGGGUUUGUAAUAGCAGCUAUUACACUGGAUAAGUCAGCUAUCUUUGUAAUAGCUAUUUGCAUCCAGUUGUUGAUGCUUGCUAGAGUCUGAGAGACUCUCAACACUAUGAGUGGAUAGGUAGAAGAUGAAGGUACCGAAGCUGA
This 512-nucleotide long non-coding RNA is filed under the name Nicotiana tabacum (common tobacco). RNAcentral's name for it is "long non-coding RNA (NTAB_LNC015394)". The record is from RNAcentral. Lineage: Eukaryota; Viridiplantae; Streptophyta; Magnoliopsida; Solanales; Solanaceae.